Mus pahari (shrew mouse) is the source of this 589-nucleotide long non-coding RNA. RefSeq lists it as uncharacterized. The transcript has 3 exons. The record is from RefSeq and is a predicted model, not a curated record. NCBI's taxonomy places the organism in Eukaryota, Metazoa, Chordata, Mammalia, Rodentia, Muridae.
ACUCACUGGGUCUGAGCUCUGUUCUGAGACUGCUGCCUCUCCUCGCAGUACCUCUCGUAGUGCUGUAUUUAUUGCUCUUCAGUGCCGAUUCGGGGCUUUUUGGAACCAGACUGAACAGAAACAGAAGUCUUUCUUUAGCCUUAGGCUGUUUAUCGAGCUGUCCAGAGUGGAGUGAUUGCUGCUACCCUUAUUGCAGUACCCCACUAAAGGAUCUUGAGUGGGAAGCAGAAAAUUGAUUCUGAGCACAAAGCUGUGUGUAUCAGGACAUGAGGAUAUUGGAAGCAUACAUAAUGGCAUUUUUACAUCAUGGUCAACUGAAAGCCACACCUUCUGCUUCAGUUAUGGUUGAGCAUACGUGAUGUGUGUAUCCUUCAAUUACUCCAUCCAAACAGCCUGUCCGACUACACCAUUCACUCUGCACACUCAUAUCCUAACCAUCUUUCAGGUCUCACUGAAGUUCUGCCUCAUGCCUGAAGUUUCCCUUGGCUGCUCUGUUGUAUAGUUCCUGUACCUCAUUUCUAAUUGUCAUCAAUUAAUUAGUGGUGCUUGUUUGCACCACUCAUUAGGCAUCUAUCUACUCCCACUAGAC